GAUGAACGCUGGCGGCGUGCCUAACACAUGCAAGUCGAACGGACAGGCCCUUCGGGUUGGCUCAGUGGCGUACGGGCGAGCAACACGUUAACAACUUGCCCAUCUCUCUGUGACAACCGCAGGACACGGUGGCUAAUACCGGAUACCACCCGCCUCUGUUGCACGGGAUGGUGGAAAGUUGUUCGGCGGUGGUUAGGCCGCCUGCCUAUCAGCUUGUUCGUGAGUGGCUGGCUGACCAAGGCGACGACUGAUAGCCGGCCGGUGAGGAGGACCGGCCACACUGGGCCUGAGAGACGGCCCAGAAUCCUACGGGAGGCAGCAGGGGGGAACAUUGCACAAUGGACGAAAGCCUGAUGCAGCGACGCCGCGUGCGGGAUGACCGCCUUCGGGUUGUAAACCUCUUUCAGCUCCGAAGAAGCGAAAGUGACGGUAGGUGCAGAAGAAGCACCGGCUAACUACGUG
This 462-nucleotide ribosomal RNA is filed under the name uncultured bacterium. RNAcentral describes it as "partial 16S ribosomal RNA". It matches the Rfam family "Bacterial small subunit ribosomal RNA", at positions 28 to 507 of the family's 1533-position model. The record is from RNAcentral.